AAUAUUGGACAAUGCGCGAAAGCCCGAUCCAGCCAUGCCGCGCGUGUGAAGAAGGACCUCGGAUUGUAAAGUACUUUACGUUGGGAGGAGGGGUUGUAGGUCAAUACACUGCAAUUUUGACGCUACCAACAGAAUAAGUACCGGCUUACUUCGUGCCAGCAGCCGCGGUAAUACGAAGGUUGCAAGCGUUAAUCGGAAUUACUGGGCGUAAAGCGCGCGUAGGUGGUUCGUUAAGUUGGAAGUGAAAGCCCCGGGCUUAACCUGGGAAUUGCUUUCAAAACUGACGAGCUAGAGUACGGUAGAGGGUAGUGGAAUUUCCUGUGUAGCGGUGGAAUGCGUAGAUAUAGGAAGGAACAUCAGUGGCGAAGGCGACUACCUGGACUGAUACUGACACUGAGGUGCGAAAGCGUGGGGAGCAAACA
This 422-nucleotide ribosomal RNA is filed under the name uncultured bacterium. Its description in RNAcentral is "partial 16S ribosomal RNA". It matches the Rfam family "Bacterial small subunit ribosomal RNA", at positions 360 to 774 of the family's 1533-position model. The record is from RNAcentral.